This 465-nucleotide ribosomal RNA is filed under the name Vreelandella stevensii. RNAcentral describes it as "partial 16S ribosomal RNA". It matches the Rfam family "Bacterial small subunit ribosomal RNA", at positions 338 to 795 of the family's 1533-position model. Lineage: Bacteria; Pseudomonadati; Pseudomonadota; Gammaproteobacteria; Oceanospirillales; Halomonadaceae. The record is from RNAcentral.
CCUACGGGUGGCUGCAGUGGGGAAUAUUGGACAAUGGGCGAAAGCCUGAUCCAGCCAUGCCGCGUGUGUGAAGAAGGCCUUCGGGUUGUAAAGCACUUUCAGUGGGGAAGAAAGCCUUGGGGCUAAUACCCUCGAGGAAGGACAUCACCCACAGAAGAAGCACCGGCUAACUCCGUGCCAGCAGCCGCGGUAAUACGGAGGGUGCGAGCGUUAAUCGGAAUUACUGGGCGUAAAGCGCGCGUAGGCGGUCUGAUAAGCCGGUUGUGAAAGCCCCGGGCUCAACCUGGGAACGGCAUCCGGAACUGUCAGGCUAGAGUGCAGGAGAGGAAGGUAGAAUUCCCGGUGUAGCGGUGGAAUGCGUAGAGAUCGGGAGGAAUACCAGUGGCGAAGGCGGCCUUCUGGACUGACACUGACGCUGAGGUGCGAAAGCGUGGGUAGCAAACAGGAUUAGAUACCCCGGUAGUC